CACAAACUUGUUGAAUAAUGGCGACCCCUCUCAUGCUCCUCCUCCUCACCAUAGCUAUUCUGUUGAUGAUCCCCUCAUCCUCUGCUCAAUGCAAUCCAAACGACCGGAGUGCGCUCCUUCAGUGGAAAGCAGACUACGGCAACCCUCCCUCCAUGUCCACCUGGACCACCGACACCGACUGCUGCAACUGGAUCUACGUCGACUGUGAAAGUACCGACAGAGUACAAUUCAUCUUCACCUAUUACUCCAAUCUCUCCGGCCCAAUUUCCCAGACCCUCGCCCGGCUCACCAAUCUCACCGCCAUCCGUCUCGACGGCAACGCCUUUACCGGCCCCAUCCCCUCCUUCCUCGCCCGCCUCACCGGCCUCACCUACCUCGACCUUGCCCAUAACCACCUCUCCGGCCCGAUCCCCGCCUUCCUCGGCAACCUCCCCCUCACUCUCCUCACGCUCAACAACAACCGCCUGAGUGGGACUGUCCCCAGCUCUCUCGGUCUGUCAUCAUCUUUGCUCUACCUCCGCCUCUCCCACAACAGACUCGCUGGCUCCAUCCCUGCCACCUUCGCUGGGUCGGGAGUAAAUAUCGUGGAGCUCGACAACAAUAAGUUCACCGGGGAUGCCUCGUUGCUGUUUGGUGCAUCACGGCCGGUGACAGAGCUACAGCUAUCGAGGAAUAGGUUCAAGUUCAAUCUGUCCGCGGUGGAGUUUCCGUUGAAUUUGACUGUGAUGGAUAUUGCGCACAACUUGAUUUAUGGUGGGAUACCGAAGCAGGUGACGGAGUUGAAGCAUUUGAGGUCGUUCAAUGUGAGUUAUAAUCAGCUUUGUGGGGAAAUUCCGAUUACGGGAAGGAUUGGACGGAUUGGGCUGUUUAAGGAGAGUGCUUUUAUUCAUAACAAAUGCCUCUGUGGAUCGCCCCUUCCGGCGUGCAAGUGAGCGGGGAGAUCGUUUGAUUACUCAAAUGCUUAUCUGAAUUUGCUCUGUUGGUGUGUAGACCUUUGUUGUCCAAUAAAUGACUAUCAACUUGUUGUGGGAACUAUGAUU
RNAcentral lists this unclassified non-coding RNA (1040 nucleotides) under Hevea brasiliensis (rubber tree). Lineage: Eukaryota; Viridiplantae; Streptophyta; Magnoliopsida; Malpighiales; Euphorbiaceae. The record is from RNAcentral.